RNAcentral lists this transfer RNA (73 nucleotides) under Pteraclis aesticola (Pacific fanfish). Its description in RNAcentral is "tRNA-Asp". It matches the Rfam family "tRNA". From Rfam's summary of the family: Transfer RNA (tRNA) molecules are approximately 80 nucleotides in length. Their secondary structure includes four short double-helical elements and three loops (D, anti-codon, and T loops). The record is from RNAcentral. Lineage: Eukaryota; Metazoa; Chordata; Actinopteri; Scombriformes; Bramidae.
AAGACACUAGUAAAACCUGAUAUUACACUACUUUGUCAAGGUAGAAUCGUGGGUUAAAUCCCCGCGUGUCUUG